This 568-nucleotide ribosomal RNA is filed under the name Acinetobacter sp. HPC270. Its description in RNAcentral is "bacterial SSU rRNA". It matches the Rfam family "Bacterial small subunit ribosomal RNA", at positions 76 to 638 of the family's 1533-position model. Lineage: Bacteria; Pseudomonadati; Pseudomonadota; Gammaproteobacteria; Moraxellales; Moraxellaceae. The record is from RNAcentral.
UGCUUCGGUAACUUAGCUAGCGGCGGACGGGUGAGUAAUGCUUAGGAAUCUGCCUAUUAGUGGGGGACAACAUUCCGAAAGGGAUGCUAAUACCGCAUACGUCCUACGGGAGAAAGCAGGGGCUCUUUAUGACCUUGCGCUAAUAGAUGAGCCUAAGUCGGAUUAGCUAGUUGGUGGGGUAAAGGCCUACCAAGGCGACGAUCUGUAGCGGGUCUGAGAGGAUGAUCCGCCACACUGGGACUGAGACACGGCCCAGACUCCUACGGGAGGCAGCAGUGGGGAAUAUUGGACAAUGGGGGGAACCCUGAUCCAGCCAUGCCGCGUGUGUGAAGAAGGCCUUUUGGUUGUAAAGCACUUUAAGUGGGGAGGAGGCUUACCUGGUUAAUACCUGGGCUAAGUGGACGUUACCCACAGAAUAAGCACCGGCUAACUCUGUGCCAGCAGCCGCGGUAAUACAGAGGGUGCGAGCGUUAAUCGGAUUUACUGGGCGUAAAGCGCGCGUAGGUGGUUAAUUAAGUCAAAUGUGAAAUCCCCGAGCUUAACUUGGGAAUUGCAUUCGAUACUGGUU